This 497-nucleotide ribosomal RNA is filed under the name uncultured bacterium. RNAcentral's name for it is "partial 16S ribosomal RNA". It matches the Rfam family "Bacterial small subunit ribosomal RNA", at positions 28 to 507 of the family's 1533-position model. The record is from RNAcentral.
GAUGAACGCUGGCGGCGUGCCUAAUACAUGCAAGUCGAGCGAACGGACGAGAAGCUUGCUUUUCUGAUGUUAGCGGCGGACGGGUGAGUAACACGUGGAUAACCUACCUAUAAGACUGGGAUCACUUCGGGAAACCGGAGCUAAUCCCGGAUAAUAUUUUGAACCGCAUGGUUCAAAAGUGAAAGACGGUCUUGCUGUCACUUAUAGCUGGAUCCGCGCUGCAUUAGCUAGUUGUUAAGGUAACGGCUUACCAAGGCAACGAUGCAUAGCCGACCUGAGAGGGUGAUCGGCCACACGGGAACUGAGACACGGUCCAGACGCCUACGGGAGGCAGCAGUAGGGAAUCUUCCGCAAUGGGCGAAAGCCUGACGGAGCAACGCCGCGUGAGUGAUGAAGGUCUUCGGAUCGUAAAACUCUGUUAUUAGGGAAGAACAGAUGUGUAAGGAACUGUGCACAUCGUGACGGUACCUAAUCAGAAAGCCACGGCUAACUACGUG